Pelobates cultripes (western spadefoot toad) is the source of this 673-nucleotide non-coding RNA. The record is from the annotation of a GenBank genome assembly. Lineage: Eukaryota; Metazoa; Chordata; Amphibia; Anura; Pelobatidae.
AUCGUACGGGAUCUUUUAUUCUUUCCUCUCGGCUGCUGUGUACAGCCUGUGAUUGGACGACCUGAUGUCAGAGGCUAAGGGGUUAAUUGAGUGGCAUCCUCCAUGUGCUGGUCACUGUAGAGUGAUGGGAGAAAGAUCCACUUUUUAAGAUGGUACAGUGGAGGCCUUCCUCUGUGGCACUGACAGAAAGCAAUGCACUGUAAGUGCCUGGGCAGCAUAAGCAAAACAGAAAGGAAUUCAGCCUCUUUUAAAACACUGUUAUAGCUCGAAGGCAACUCAAUCACCAAAUCCAGGUCUCUCUUGUCCAGGGAAAUAAUGCCUAGGAUGUCCUUAAGAAUAGUUUUAGAAAAAGAAAACCGCUAAUAGUGUACUGUGUAAAAUAAUACUUUUAAGGUGCUUGGGUUCAGAUUCAACAUGAAGGCUUGGGGAGAACGCUCCACGCCUAAGGAUGUGGUGCAGAAUCUGCAAACAAUCCUCUUGGCGAUGGAUGGGGUAGUAUGGCAUCUUGCCGUGCAGGUAAGCUAUUGAAAUGUAAUAGACUGAUUGAGAUCUAUCCCAAUGACCUUGUCCAUAAGUGGAGCAGCACUCCAGAGACCAGAGCUGUGAGGGAGAAUAGGUAAAAUCACAUUUUUAGCCCAGGCAGCGGCAUCCUAGUCGGCUAAAUAGAAAUGCG